CACGGAGAAAAGGUUCAAAUAUGUAGAGAGCAAUUUGAAGGGUUAAAAUACAAUGUUGUAGAAUUAACUCACUCUGUGGUUAGCCACGAAUUGUGUCCAAGAUGACGUUUGUCCUUAGAAUGUUCUCCAGUACUUGUAUGACCUUGCAAUCUUCAGUUUUAGAUACGUGUGAGAGAGGGAACGGUAGCGACGAUACGAUGUUUUAACGUUCUUAUAAAGUUAAAGGUGAAUAAUCCUCCUAGACUGGAACACAUAAUAGAUAAAGAAUAUAAUCAAACGAACUAUAUAAAUAACGGAACGGCGUAAUAGAAUACUCCCCGUCUGAUGUCUAUCUGAUAUCACCAUUCUAUAAACUAUUCGCAAAUGA
This 367-nucleotide long non-coding RNA is filed under the name Mytilus galloprovincialis (Mediterranean mussel). Lineage: Eukaryota; Metazoa; Mollusca; Bivalvia; Mytilida; Mytilidae. The record is from RNAcentral.